GACUACAGGGGUAUCUAAUCCUGUUUGCUCCCCACGCUUUCGCACCUGAGCGUCAGUAUUGGACCAGAAGGCCGCCUUCGCCACUGAUGUUCCUCCAGAUAUCUACGCAUUUCACCGCUACACCUGGAAUUCCGCCUUCCUCUUCCAUACUCGAGCUCCGCAGUCUCGAAUGCAGUUCCCAGGUUGAGCCCGGGGAUUUCACAUCCGACUUACGAAGCCGCCUACGUGCGCUUUACGCCCAGUAAUUCCGAUUAACGCUCGCACCCUCUGUAUUACCGCGGCUGCUGGCACAGAGUUAGCCGGUGCUUCUUCAUUAGGUAACGUCAGCCUGCAGGGGUAUUAGCCCUGCAUAUUUCGUACCCAUCGAAAGUGCUUUACAACCCGCAGGCCUUCUUCACACACGCGGCGUCGCUGGAUCAGGGUUUCCCCCAUUGUCCAAUAUUCCCCACUGCAGCCCCCCGUAGG
Molecule: ribosomal RNA, 465 nt
Filed under: uncultured Gammaproteobacteria bacterium
Lineage: Bacteria; Pseudomonadati; Pseudomonadota; Gammaproteobacteria
Description: partial 16S ribosomal RNA
Source: RNAcentral